RNAcentral lists this ribosomal RNA (492 nucleotides) under uncultured bacterium. RNAcentral describes it as "partial 16S ribosomal RNA". It matches the Rfam family "Bacterial small subunit ribosomal RNA", at positions 29 to 507 of the family's 1533-position model. The record is from RNAcentral.
AGUGAACGCUGGCGGUAGGCCUAACACAUGCAAGUCGAACGGCAGCACAGUAAGAGCUUGCUCUUACGGGUGGCGAGUGGCGGACGGGUGCGGAAUACAUCGGAAUCUACUUUUUCGUGGGGGCUAACGUAGGGAAACUUACGCUAAUACCGCAUACGACCUACGGGUGAAAGCAGGGGAUCUUCGGACCUUGCGCGAUUGAAUGAGCCGAUGUCGGAUUAGCUAGUUGGCGGGGUAAAGGCCCACCAAGGCGACGAUCCGUAGCUGGUCUGAGAGGGUGAUCAGCCACACUGUAACUGAGACACGGUCCAGACUCCUACGGGAGGCAGCAGUGGGGAAUAUUGGACAAUGGGCGCAAGCCUGAUCCAGCCAUACCGCGUGGGUGAAGAAGGCGUUCGGGUUGUAAAGCCCUUUUGGUGGGAAAGAAAAGCAGCAGGUUAAUACCCCGCUGUUCUGACGGUACCCAAAGAAUAAGCACCGGCUAACUUCGUG